Gossypium arboreum is the source of this 639-nucleotide long non-coding RNA. RefSeq lists it as uncharacterized. Lineage: Eukaryota; Viridiplantae; Streptophyta; Magnoliopsida; Malvales; Malvaceae. The record is from RefSeq and is a predicted model, not a curated record. The transcript has 2 exons.
ACUUCACCAUUGUUAUGAAACUCAUGUAUUGAUUUUGAGUGCGAUCGAGAUAUUGGUGCGGUUCAAUCAGAUAGAACUUCACUCUUUAAAAAAAAAAAAGGAAACAAUAGAGUUGUGUUUUAUUUGAUUGAGCCGUGCCAAUAUCACGCACAGUAACUCAUGGUUUCUGUCAAAGGGACGUCGUUAUAUAAGUCAGUAUCGGAUUCUCAAUGAGGUAUUGUUCUAAGGAUGUCUAUAUAGUAUGACAUGAGUUUGAGGUAAACCAAAGUUAAUACCGAACAUUACCUCCAUUGAGGGUACGAGACUCUCCCAUUGAGCGAGCUACCCUCAGCAGAUUUUGAAUAUGCAGGCUUUAUAUUGUGUAGUAUAUGUAUAUAUAUCAUGUGUGGAGUUGCAUGCAGAGCUUUCAUGGUGGUUUUAAGUGGGGGUGCAUCAUACCUCAAGGAGAAAAAAGGACCAUUUCAAAGUUACUGAGAUUUUUUUCUAGAAGGCAAUGAGAGUGGUAGAGUAGUAGGUAAGAUAAAUAUUUUUAAUUAAUGAGAUUGAUUUUUUUUUUUUUUGUAUCAGUUACUUCUAGUGUAAAAGGUGUACAACCUUUUUGACAAAUUGAUAUGGUAGUUUAACAAGGCUUCUUUAUAA